RNAcentral lists this transfer RNA (72 nucleotides) under Fukomys damarensis (Damara mole-rat). It matches the Rfam family "tRNA". Rfam says of the family: Transfer RNA (tRNA) molecules are approximately 80 nucleotides in length. Lineage: Eukaryota; Metazoa; Chordata; Mammalia; Rodentia; Bathyergidae. The record is from Rfam by way of RNAcentral.
GCGCUGAUAGUAUACUGGUUAGCAUAGCUGCCUUCCAAGAAGUUGACCUGGGUUUGAUUCCUGGCCAACGCA